This 449-nucleotide ribosomal RNA is filed under the name uncultured organism. Its description in RNAcentral is "partial 16S ribosomal RNA". It matches the Rfam family "Bacterial small subunit ribosomal RNA", at positions 334 to 799 of the family's 1533-position model. The record is from RNAcentral.
CACUCCUACGGGAGGCAGCAGUGGGGAAUAUUGGACAAUGGGCGCAAGCCUGAUCCAGCCAUGCCGCGUGAGUGAUGAAGGCCCUAGGGUUGUAAAGCUCUUUCACCGGUGAAGAUAAUGACGGUAACCGGAGAAGAAGCCCCGGCUAACUUCGUGCCAGCAGCCGCGGUAAUACGAAGGGGGCUAGCGUUGUUCGGAUUUACUGGGCGUAAAGCGCACGUAGGCGGACUAUUAAGUCAGGGGUGAAAUCCCGGGGCUCAACCCCGGAACUGCCUUUGAUACUGGUAGUCUUGAGUUCGAGAGAGGUGAGUGGAAUUCCGAGUGUAGAGGUGAAAUUCGUAGAUAUUCGGAGGAACACCAGUGGCGAAGGCGGCUCACUGGCUCGAUACUGACGCUGAGGUGCGAAAGCGUGGGGAGCAAACAGGAUUAGAAACCCUUGUAGUCCCAUG